This 497-nucleotide ribosomal RNA is filed under the name uncultured bacterium. RNAcentral describes it as "partial 16S ribosomal RNA". It matches the Rfam family "Bacterial small subunit ribosomal RNA", at positions 28 to 507 of the family's 1533-position model. The record is from RNAcentral.
GAUGAACGCUGGCGGCGUGCCUAAUACAUGCAAGUCGAGCGAACGGACGAGAAGCUUGCUUUUCUGAUGUUAGCGGCGGAUGGGUUAGUAACAUGUGGAUAACCUACCUAUAAGACUUGGAUAACUUCGGGAAACCGGAGCUAAUACCGGAGAAUAUUUUGAACCGCAGGGUUCAAAAGUUUAAGACGGUCUUGCUGUCACUUAUAGUUUGAUCCGCGCUGCAUUAGCUAUGUGGUAAGGUAACGGCUUACCAAGGCAACGAUGCAUAGCCGACCUGAGAGGGUGAGCGGCCACACUGGAACUGAGACACGGUCCAGACUCCUACGGGAGGCAGCAGUAGGGAAUCUUCCGCAAUGGGCGAAAGCCUGCCGGAGCAACGCCGCGUGAGUGAUGAAGGUCUUCGGAGCGUAAAACUCUGUUAUUAGGGAAGAACAUAUGUGUAAGUAACUGUGCACAUCUUGACGGUGCCUAAUCAGAAAGCCACGGCUAACUACGUG